Molecule: long non-coding RNA, 362 nt
Organism: Rhododendron vialii
Lineage: Eukaryota; Viridiplantae; Streptophyta; Magnoliopsida; Ericales; Ericaceae
Exons: 3
Source: RefSeq, a predicted model, not a curated record
UGAAAGUUUUUGGACUGUUGCUGCUGUUCUGGAAAGUUUUUGGUUACACUUCGGCAUGUGUGUUUGUUGUUUUAGCAUCCAAAGAGUAGUCUUGAACUUACAAAUUAUCUGAGCCAAAUGUUAACAACUGUUCGACACGUAUCCAAGCACGCCACCGAGUCCUACAGGAAAAAGAAGCAAUGGAAGACCAAGAAGAGGAUGAAGCAUUGUAAUUUUUUCUUAGGUUUCGUAUGUUGUAUUUUGUUGGCACAUUUUAUUCGAUUCAGAAUGAAGGUGUAAGUAUAAGUUUGAGAAUUUCGAAAUGAAGAUUGUCUUAUGUUGAGCAAAAUUUUGUGAUUCGACAAGAGUUGUUUAUUUCUUGA